GAAAAUAAUAUAAUAAAAAAGGAUUGUGUGGUUUUUUUCACAUUAUAGACAUUUAAAUAAAAAAAAUGGAAUAAUAUUCCAUUAAGGGUAUAACAAUCGCUUUAUCAAUCUUAAUUUUAUAUUUGGAAAAUUGGAAUGAUAAUGGGAAAUGAUAAAAGUAGACUAUGUCUCCAACUAAUAUUUUUAUUGAACUCUGUGUCUUAGAGUACGACAUACAUAAUACUUAACAAUUAUUUAGAUUAUAUACACAUAUUAAAAAAACAAACGAAAUAGCGUGGAGCAUUGGCACAAAUGAGUAAUAGUCUAUACACUACACGGUCAACCGCUGCGAACUAUAGGCGCCGCCAUAUUGGCCUUGGCUGCUCUAACGGGCACCUUUCACUUUAUCCCUACUCCGAGGGCGACCGUCACGCAACAUGCAACACACAGACGAAAAAGUUUGAGACCAUGUAAUAAAAGUUUCACUUUAAUAGAAAUAUUUAUAAGUUAAACAUUAACGUUGUUUGUUUUUGAUCUUCAGAAAAAUGAUUUUCAAAUAGACAAAUACCAAGCCACAAACAGGCAAGGAGAUCAGAAUAUAAAACAUUUUUCAAAUGAAAACUUCAUCGGUACCGUUGUGGUUAGAAAAUCGAUGAAACUCAAAAGCACCACUAAAUAUAAACAAACAUUUACAUUAUUGGGAUUCAGCCUGCAAAAGAAUAACUAGAGUCUAUCUGAUGUUCAUAAAAUAAUAAGUGCUUACCACAAAAGGCUACUUAUAGAAUUCAUCAUCAAAUUAUUUACUGUCCAUAAACUGGAGGUGGCUAUCAAAUAUGAAACAGGCGAUAUAAAAGAGCAGCAUAUUACAAGCCUUCCCGAAUGGAUCACCGUCCAUGUCUGGGUCCCUCCCUGUUCAGAAGAAAUCGUGCGCAUCAUUUGAAGGAUCGGACAACCUUGAAUCGACGCAAUUAAGAUGCAUCUUAAGUCUGAAGAUUAAAAGCGGCAUCCUAAUAGUGCUGUAAGUAUCGUGGCUGUAAGUCAUCGUAGCCU
Long non-coding RNA from Bombyx mori (domestic silkworm), 1029 nucleotides. RefSeq lists it as uncharacterized. Lineage: Eukaryota; Metazoa; Arthropoda; Insecta; Lepidoptera; Bombycidae. The transcript has 3 exons. The record is from RefSeq and is a predicted model, not a curated record.